Molecule: long non-coding RNA, 2584 nt
Filed under: Sus scrofa (pig)
Lineage: Eukaryota; Metazoa; Chordata; Mammalia; Artiodactyla; Suidae
Description: lncRNA (ENSSSCG00000043573.2)
Source: RNAcentral
GCCACACCUGUGGCAUAUGAAAGUUCCCAGGCCAGGGGUUGAAUCUGAGCUGCAGCUGCAGUUUGCGCCACAGCCAUGGCAACGCCUGAUUUGAGCCGCAUCUGUGACCUGUGCAGCAGCUUGUGGCAACGUCAGAUCAUUAACCCACGGAGCAAGGUCUGGGAUCGAACCCCAUCCUCACAGACACGAUGUCAGGUUCUUAACGUGCUGAGCCACAAUAGGAACUCCUUUUUCUUUUUCUUUUUCUUCCUUUCUUUCUUUCUUUUAAUACUGCUUAUUAGCUUAGGCGUGGCUCUGGAGCUGGCCUUCCUGGGUUUGAGUCCCACCUCUUCUUCCCAACUGUAGCCUUGCCCAAAUUAUCUUUUCUGAAACUCUGUGUCCUCAUCUGUGAAAUGUGAUGAAAACAGCGUCUGCUGUGAAGAUUUAAGUAUUUAAUAUGUGGAUAAAUAUAAACUUUUCAGACCAGUAUGGUUACAUAGAGAGUACACAACAAAUAUUAGCGAUUUUUUUAACUGUUUUGAAAUCACGGAGACUCACUAGAAGUUGAAGAAAUGCCCAUCGACAGAGGACUGGAUAAAGAAGAUGUGGUACAUACACGCAAUGGAAUGUUAGUCGUAACAUAGAAUGAAAUAAUGCCGUUUGGAGCAACAUGGAUGGAUCUAGACAUUAUCACACUAAGUGAAGUAAGACAGAGAAAGGCAAACAUCAUAUGGUAUCAUUUGUAUGUGGAAUCUUAAAAAACAUAUAUAUAUAUACAAAUGAACUUAUUUCCAAAACAAAAAGAGACUCACAGGCACAAAAAACAAACUUAUGGCUACCAAAGCAGAAAGGGGGGUUGGAUUAAUAUAUACACACAUUACUAUAUGUAAAAUAGAUAACCAACAAGGACCUACUGUAUAACAGGAAACUAAACUCAGUAUUUUGUAGUAACCUAUAAGGGAAAAGAAUCUGAAAAAGUAUAUGCUUUUCUAAUUUUUUUAAAUUAAAAAAAUUUUUUUGAAUUGUUAUUUCCUCAAUACAAUUUUUUUUUCUACUGUACAGCGUGGUGACCCAGUUACACAUACAUGUACACAUUCUAUUUUCUCAGAUUAUCAUGCUCCAUCAUAAGAGACUAGACAGAGUUCCCAAUGCUACACAGCAGGAUCUCAUUGCUAAUCCAUUCCAAAGGCAAUAGUAUAUACUUUUCUAUAUCUGUAUUUCAUUAAAAAUUUUAAAAAAUGGAGUUCCCAUUGUGGCACAGUGGAAACGAAUCCCACUAGUAUCCAUGAGGGUGUGGGUUCGAUCCCUGGCCCUGCUCAGUGGGUUAAGGAUCAGCAUUGCUGUGAGCUGUGGUGUAGGUUGCAGAUGUGGCUUGCAGACAUGGCUUGGAUCCUGCUUUGCUGUGGCUGUGGCAUAGGCUGGCAGCUGUAGGUCUGAUUCAACCCCUAACCUGGGAACUUCCAUAUGCCAUGAGUGCCGCCCUAAAAAGCAAAAUAAAUAAAUAAAUAAAAAUAGUAUAGGAAUUUCCCAUGAAUCUACCCCAGGUUCAUUUGGUGAUAAUAUCUUCCAUAAUUAUAAUGCUUUAUCAAAUCCAAGAAAUUGACAUUGGUAUAACACUGUUAAUGGAACUAUAGGCUUCGUUUGGAUUUCACCCCUUUUUUCAUGCUCUUUUGUAUGUGCAUGUGUGUGUGUGUACAGCUUUGUGAACUUUCAUGACAUGUCUUCAUGUAACCACUGCUCCAGUCAGGAGGCAGGAUUGUUCCAUUUCACAAAGGCUGUCCCCCCACAAUCACCCCACCCCAACCCAUGCUAUGGGAACCGAGUAUCUGUUCUCCAUCACUUUUGGAGAAUGUUGUACAGGUAGAAUCGUACCUUUCGAGAUUGGUCUUUUUCACUCAUUCUAAUGACCUUGAGAUCCAUCCAAACAGUCUGUGCCUUUUCACUGCUGCGUAAGUAGCCCUCUAUAUGGGUGCCCCAAGUCUGUUUAUCCAUUUAUCCCUUGAGAGAUAUUUGAGUGGCUGUCAAUUCUUUGGCUAUUACAAAUAGAGCUGCUCUGAAAGUUCAUGUACAUUUUGUGUUAGCCAUUUUCAUUUCUCAAAGAAUAAAUACCUAAAAUUGUGAUUGUUGAGUCAGAUGUGAAGUUAUGUUUAACUUAAAAAAAAAAAACUGUCAAGCUAUUUUCUCUAGUGUCUGUACCAUUUUACAUUUCCACCAAUAAUGCAGGAGGGAUCUGGUUUCUUUGCAUUGCUGUUUUUUUUAAUUUUUGCUAUUCUAAUAGAUGUGAAGUGACAUCUCAUGGUGGCUUUAAUUUGCAUUUCCCUCAUGGCUAGUGAUGUUGGACAUCUCUUCAUGUAUUUAUUUAUUACCUGUAUAUUCUCUUUGUUCCAUUGCAGCUCAGCGGGUUAAGAACCCGACUAGUAUCCAUGAGGAUGCGGGUUCGAUGCCUGACCUUGCUCAGUGGUUUAAGGAUCCUGAAUGGCUGCAAGCUGCAGUGGUUGCAGGUGCAGCUUGGAUCCAUGUUGCUAUGGCUGUGGCAUUAGGCCAACAGCUACAGCUCAGAUUGCACCUUUGUGUGGGAACUUCCAUAUGCAGCAAGUGUGGCCCU